GACGAACGCUGGCGGCGUGCCUAAUACAUGCAAGUAGAACGCUGAAGAGAGGAGCUUACUCUUCUUGGAUGAGUUGCGAACGGGUGAGUAACGCGUAGGUAACCUGCCUUGUAGCGGGGGAUAACUAUUGGAAACGAUAGCUAAUACCGCAUAACAAUGGAUGACACAUGUCAUUUAUUUGAAAGGGGCAAUUGCUCCACUACAAGAUGGACCUGCGUUGUAUUAGCUAGUAGGUGAGGUAAUGGCUCACCUAGGCGACGAUACAUAGCCGACCUGAGAGGGUGAUCGGCCACACUGGGACUGAGACACGGCCCAGACUCCUACGGGAGGCAGCAGUAGGGAAUCUUCGUCAAUGGGGGCAACCCUGACCGAGCAACGCCGCGUGAGUGAAGAAGGUUUUCGGAUCGUAAAGCUCGGUUGUAAGUCAAGAACGGGUGUGAGAGUGGAAAGUUCACACUGUGACGGUAGCUUACCAGAAAGGGACGGCUAACUACGUG
This 497-nucleotide ribosomal RNA is filed under the name uncultured bacterium. Its description in RNAcentral is "partial 16S ribosomal RNA". It matches the Rfam family "Bacterial small subunit ribosomal RNA", at positions 28 to 507 of the family's 1533-position model. The record is from RNAcentral.